RNAcentral lists this long non-coding RNA (14373 nucleotides) under Vitis vinifera (wine grape). Its description in RNAcentral is "long non-coding RNA (VVIN_LNC005151)". Lineage: Eukaryota; Viridiplantae; Streptophyta; Magnoliopsida; Vitales; Vitaceae. The record is from RNAcentral.
UCUCAUAAUCUCUUGUCAGUCAAUCUCAGUAUGGGAUUUUUCGAAAGUGCGUUGGAGUAUGUUGAGUUGUUUGGUUGACUGCUGAAGAAAUCGAGGAUCCUUGUUUGGUUGUCUUCAAAGUUUAGGAAAAAAAGAGAAAAUAUAUGCUAGAUCUUUGUUUGGUUUUCGAAAUUCUUUUGAUUACCGAUCUUCUAUCAUUUUUGUUUAAUGCAUUUAUAUAUGCUAGAUCAGUAGAAAUUAAAAUGGGUAUGACUCAAGAUUUCCUCAAGGCUGUUGAUCAAUAUAUCUUGGAGUCUGGAGGAACUUAAAAGUGUCUCUGCAAGUAUUCCAUUAGCAGGUGUGUUAAGGAGGUUGGUUUUUAUUUGUUUCACUCAAUUGUUGUACCUUCUGCACUUCAAUUUCUUGUAACAAAGUGUAAUUGUAACAUGAUUUGUCUCUUUUAUUAGGAUUUUUGUAAGUGUUUUUCAAUUUUGGUUGGAUGUUGGAAUGAGUGGUUAGCAUAUUUGGGUUAUGAGAAAAUGUGGGAAAGGAAAGUAGAGAGUGAAGUGCCAUGUAUUGAAUUUUCUAUUGUUUGGGAACAUAGAAAAUGCAACUUCUAAAUAUACCUUUUCCUUGGUUCUUUUUUAAAGAUUGGCACUUGCUAUUAGUUUAUAUUUCCUAUGUUAAGAGGAAAUUACCGAGAGGUAGUUGGGAGGCCCAGCUAAACAAUAUGCAGAAAAUAUGUUUUAUUAGUUCAAUCACAAUUCUAUUAUAUAAAACCAUAUUUGCAAUAAAACAUGUCAUAACCAUGUGGGUAUUCCGACGAAGAAUAAUCACCAACAAUGUAUAGGGAAAAAGAAAAAGGAAAAAAUAAUAAUAAUCCCAUUAGUCUAAAUAGAACAUUUGGAUGACAGAAAUUACAAGAACAAAAUAUGUUUUUUGCUUAAUCUUUUAUGGGCCAAACCUACUCUAAACUGGGGGUCGUUACGCCUCUUGUCCUUCUUCCGCCUCUUGUCCUCCUUUCCUAUCGAUGGUGUUUUGAUUCUUGAUCUUGAACAUGUCAAAAUUAUAAAAUGUUUUAUCCCAAUAGUAUGCUAUUUUUACUAGGAACAUGGUCCAUAUGACAAGGAGGAACCAUCCAAAAUAUGAUAUCAAGAUCAGGAUCAACAAAGUUGCAGCUACUGUUCCACUUAAGAACCGAACAUGACCCAAAAUAAGGAGAUAUCUUCCAUCAUCUUCAACUUUGACAGUUUUAUCAGGAUUAAGGAUUUCAUAAACCACAACUACCAUGAAAUAUAUAAAUGUUGCAAACAAGGAGAUUCGUAUAGCUAUAUUGUGUUGCACAAAUGGGGAAAUAUUAUCAUAUUGGUAUUUCGUAAGGACAGUUGAACCCAGAAUUGUAAGGAAAGAGAUGAAAGUUGAUGAAGCUCUGUCAUGAAAACAAUAAAUAAAUAAGUAGGAAAUUCAAUUAGAUUUAUGAAAAUCUUAGAAGUAAUAAUUAAAAAAAUUAGAUAAAUAUAAUCAAAUCAAUUAUUUUAUGUAAUUUUAGAGAGUAUUACACAGUAUCAUCUAAAUCAAUUAUAAUUUUUAAAUAUUAAAAGUACAUCUGAAAUAUGAAGAGUAACACUUUGUGUUUUAGUGGAUAAAACAACUAAUAUCCAACAUGUACAUUUGAAAAGUAACUGAUUGAAAUAAUAACUUAAUUUUCUUUUGAAAUUUAACCAAAAACUAGAGUUUGAAAAAUUGAGUGCUCACAAGUAGAAGAGCAUUGAGGGAAAAGAGUGAAAUGCCAAUGGUUGUAUUAUUUUUAUUGAAACCAUACAUGAGAGAAUUUUAAUGGGUUAAGACAUAUUUUCAAAUGAGUAUAUAUUAAAUGAAGGCACACGCACAGAUUAAAUUUAAUUAAUGAAGACUUAUGGUGAAAAUUAAUGAAACAUAAAGGUUGAAGGAAAAGAUUCAAAAUGAGUGUAUUGAAUUAAUCAAAUGGGUUGAGUAAGGUAAGAAUAUUGAAAACAAAAUGGAGGUGAAAAAAGGAACAAAAUGGGAAAAGGGCAUGAGGUAAAAGCCGUUGAGGCUUUUGAUGCAAGAAAAUGAUGGGGAAGAGAUCAGGAAUCAUGUGUAGGGCAUGAUUGGACAACCAUAAAAUAGCAGGCAGGACAUGAGAAAAGGCGAAAUACCUUGGUUGUGUGGCCAUGGCAGAUAUUGUAGAUGCUGUUGCUCUUACUUUGAAGCCUGCAGGGAGGGGGGGAGGGGAAUGUGGGAAUGUUAGCUCUACUUUGAAGCCUGAAUGGGACUGUUGCUCUUACUUUGAAGUCUGAAGGGAGGAGAGGGAGGGGAAAGUGGGAAUGUUUGCUCUACUUUGAAGUCUGAAUGAGGGAGGGGAAUGUAGUGUGCUGUUGGGAAGGGGAGGGAGCAUGUGCUUUAUAUUGCUACAUAUGGUAUAGAUUAACAUUGCUAACAGGUGGUAACUUUAUAUUUUCACUUGAUAUUGCUAACUUUAUAUUGCUACCAGGUGCUAACUUUAUAUUGCUAAGAGGUGCUAACUUUAUAUUGCUAACAGGUGCUAACUUUAUACUUCACUUGAUAUUGCUAACUUUAUAUUGCUAACAGGAAGAAUACUCCGCUUUGGUGCUAACUUUAUAUUGCUAACUUGAAGAAUACUCCGCUUUGGUGCUAACUUUAUAUUGCUAACUUGAAGAAUACUCCGCUUUUGCCACUUUAUAAUGCUAACUUUAUAUUGACAAUCAAUGAGACCAUCUUCGUCUCAUUGAUUGAGGGACCUUUGUCUUGUUAGUUUAGUCAAUGCUUGCAUAUUUAAAAAUCCCUAUAUACAAAAAUAAAAAUAAAACUCUUUGCUACAAUGUAAUAAUGUAAAUCAUUAAAUACUAACUAAUAAGUGAUUUAUUUUAUCAUCAAUCAUUUUAUUAUUCUUCAUUUACCUAAUAUAUCUUCUCUUAAUUGAUGUAAGUUGGGAUAUAAUUUUCUUUUAUUUUUAACGGUUUUAAUUUUAUUACUUAAUUUUAUAAAUAGAAAUUUGUUAUCAAAUUUUAUUAUCAAGUUUUGAAGUUAGAAAAUAAUAAUAAGAUAUAAUGUUUAACUAUUGCAACCACUUUACAAAUUAGUUUCUCCAUUUAUCAAUAUUUAUCACAAGUUUAUAAAUUUACCAAAAAUUCUUCAUCAAUUAUUAAUUUAAAAAAAAAUAUUAUGAUCAUUUCACUUAAAAUUAUACAACAUAAAUAAUCAUUUAUCAAUUUUUUUUUCUAUCGUAUGCUAAUGAGUGAAUAAUGGAUGGUAAAAGUAUAAAAUAAUAAUAAUAAUAAUAAUAAUAAUAAUGAAUACAUUUUGUUUUUAUUAUUUAUUUUUCACUACUAACAAGUAAUCACUUGAUACUUGUGGACCCGACAUUUUUAAUGAUGCGUUCCCACUCGAUCGGCGAGACUCACUUUUCGUUGAUUUGGUGAAAAAUAUGUUUUUUUUUUAGAAAAGACUUGGAGUCGCCACUUACUUUUAUUUAUUUUUGAAGGGGAAAACAAGUAAGAAUAAAACCCCUAAAUGUACUCCUGAUUUUUUUUUGGAAAAGCUGUCUGCGAAAAACCUAAGUCUGGGUCCGGGGAUCAGGUUACUUAUUAGGAAGGUACGGUAAAGACCGUAGCACCCCUCUAAGCCCCUAAAAAAAGGGUCUCUACUAAAUAAGAUAAAGUAGAUAUGACAGUUAACUAAGAGAUCAAUGGGUACCAAAAUGAUCACAGUUCAAAAAUAAUUCAUGAUAACGAAAUAAUAAAUAAAGUGAGAGUGAGAGUGUACCUUAUUAGCAGGUAAUAAAGCGCUGUCAUGAAAACAAGGUUAGUGUACAAUGACAAGUGUAAAAACAAUCCCAUAUAAAACCAAAUCAAAAUCAAACAAAAUUGAGAGCACAACUUGAAUUAUUUUCAAAAAAUGUUAUGAAUGUCGGGCCCCCACCAAAGCCCAAUUUAUUUUUGCUAAGAAUUAAUUCUCAUAAAUUCCAUCAUUUUGGAAUUAUGAAAACUUAUUCAUUUUAAAAAAAAAAAUUUGAAAAUAGGAAUUUUGAAAAUUAAAUGUGAAAUUUCGGAAGUGGAAUUUAAAAAAAAAAAAAAAAAGUUUGGAAAUCUCUUUGAGAAUGGCAUUUCAAAAUAAAUAAAUAAAAAAUAUUUAAAAAUAAAAUAAAAUAAAAAAUGAAUAAAUAAAUAAAUUUGAAUUUUGGAAAAUGGGAAUUUCGAGAACGGAAUUUUGAAAAAAUUAAAUUAAAAAAUUGGAAAUUUGGAAAGAUUAUUUUGAAAAUGGAAUUUCGAAAAAUUAAAUUUAAAAAUCGGAAAUUUGGAAAAUUGAAAUUUCGAGAAUGGAAUUUCGGAAAAUUAAACUUAAAAAAUGAAAUUUUGGAAAAUUAUUUCGAAAAUAGAAAUUUUUGUAAAAUUGGAAUUUUUGAAAAUCGGAACGUGAAGAUCGAAGUUUUGAAAAUCAUAUUUUUGAUGUAUGAGAAUAAAAAAAAUAAAUAAAUAAAAGAUGGUACGUAGUCGAUGGGACUCGCAUCCCGAAAGGUGGCCAUGCAUGACCAUAAUAAAAUGUUUAACGCUGAGAAUUAUCAACAAUAACCUAGUGAAAUAGUGAACUAAAAAAAAACAAUUUUUUUUUUUUGCCAUACAACUAAAAAAAAACUUAAUGAACUUUAAAAAAACCUAAAAUACUCUAAUCAACUAAAUGAAAUAAAUUAAAUUAAAACUAAUUUAGAAAAGGCAUUUUACCAUAUGACUAAUUAAUCUAGUAAAAAUAACUUUAGCUUUAAUCACCCAAUUAAACUAAAGAUUUAAAGACUCCAACUUUUCAUUCUCAUAAGAAAUUUAACUAAAACUAAAAUUUUAAUUGCUCUAACUUUUAUCUAUAUUAAAAUAAUAUCUAAAACUAAAAAUAAGCAAAAUUACUAUUGAAAACUAAAAUUUUUAAAUCUCCAGUGUUUAUUUACAUUAAAAUAAUAUUUAGAAAAAAAAAUACUAACUUUCCUAUUAACAUUAAAAAAAUAGCUAAAACCUAAGUGUUAAAAAAUCUAAUUUUAAUUAACCUUCUACACGAAUUUUACCUUAAAAAAAUCAACCAUUAUAUUUAUCUACGUGCAUUUUGAAGAAACCAUCACAUAUUGAUUGCACUAACUUAUUUGAUAUCUAAAAUCUAAAAUACUAACACACAUGGUCGCAUAUUAUAUUACUUAAUAUCUAAAACCUAAAACCUAAAAAUUAACUCAAAACUAUUAUUUUUAACACUCUAACUUUUAUUAAUAUUGAAUUAUCUAAAACAAAUAAUAAUAAUAAAAAAAGCAACUUUAAAAUUAUCACCUCCAAUCGUCCAAAGCAAAUCCAUACAAAAAAUUAACUUGAAAUUAGUAAUAAUAAUUAACAAUAAUAACUAAAAAAAAUUAUUCAAAAGUUAACAACUAAAAAAAUUAGCUUGAUUUAUAUUUAUAUUUUUAUCAAUCAUUAAUAUAUCUUAUAGAAAUUCAUUGGAUUUUUAUGUGAUUUUAUAACAAACAACAUGCCACUCAUACAUAUUCCUACAUACAUUCACUAGAAUUUUUUUAUUUAUUCAAUAAACUCAUACCACUAACAUAUUUUAUAGCUAGCCACAAUCACAUACGCAAUCAAAUUUCAGCCACUCAUACAAAUAGUCAUUAACUUUGUCAUGGUCGGCUUGCACAAAGCUCCGUUAGUGGCUGCAUAUUCAACCAUUAAAAAAUCAGCCUCAUUCUUCAUUAAGGCCAUACCUAAAUCAUGGAUAAUUUCAAUAGAAUUUCAGCUAUCAACUUUCUUCUAUGCAAACUUCAAAUUUAUUAAAAUUCAAGUAUAUUUCCAUUUUGAAUUAAAGCAAACUUUCAGCCAUAACUUUCAGCUCGUUUAUAAAUGGUCCUUCACCAAAUUUUCAGCAUAUUUCACUAUGGAUUUUCAGCCAUGAGAAAGUUUCUAUCCACAGCCACAAGUUCAGCCCUGAGAUUCAGCACACCUAUGCAGCCUUAUGUCCUUAUUUAUCCACCAAAACCUUACUCCGUUGAUUUUAGACCACAAAAUUCACACAUGCUGCCACUUCCUCCAUUAAAACUCACCAAUGCGGCAUGAAUUUCAUCCUUAAAAUCUCCAUAUCCAAUCCUUGAAAUUUGAGCAGAAUACAUUAUGUAAAACCUUAGCAUACCUCCACCCGAAUUUCACUUGUGAACUCACGCAUAUGCAGCCACAAACAUAGUGUUGCCUGACCAUCAGAAUUUCCUAUUAUUUAUAACUGAACCAGACUCCAAAUUCAUGUACCUGCAGUCACUGGGAUUUGUCUUUCCUUCAUUACAUUUUCACCAUAAAUUUUUGGCCAUUGAAUUCUUCAUCAACAACACCAAAUUUUAGCCACGUAGCCUCUUUAAUUCGGUCAAGAAUAUUACUUCAACAACCAUGGGAUCUUCACAUGCACACCUUCGAUUUUUUUAGUCACUUACAUUUACCUAUGCAACUAUACUAAAUUUCCAUCCACUUUAAACAUUAAAAUAAAAAUAAAAAAUAAAAAACACAGAUUGUUAUCAUGAUCACAACCAACCACAUUAAUUCAAUACAUUUAUAUAUCAAUGUGUUCCAAUUUCAUGGAAUUCCAACGUGCUUUCACUACAAUUUCAGCAACUAUCCACUUGAAUUUCCAGAAUAUUCAGCAAACAUGGCCAUUAUUUCAUGGUGAAAGAUAUUUCAAUUGCAACUACACAGAAUGGUGAAGAUUGAAUUAAACCAUUGAUAGACCCAAGUGAAGAUGGCAGCGAAGAGGGUGGCCUCAAUCACCUAAAUCAGUUUUCAAGUAUCAGAGUGAAGGGAGUUCCAGCCUCACGGGCCCAAAAAUGGGUUUAGAAGUAGAGAAGUUGCAUAAGGGGAUAGCAACAAUAACAAAGUAAAAAUAAACGGGCCAAAAGAUUCCCUUAAAUGCAGCCCCAUUCCAUGGGUUGUCAAUGGGCUUCCAAAGCAAGUGGGAGAUAUCAUAGGUUCAGAUAAGAAUCAAAGACAUGGUUCUCAGAUAUUUCACAGUAGGAUGAAACAAAGUCAGGUUGCUUUCUGUCAUAAUUAAAAAGAAUAAUAGAUAGGACAAUAGCAAGAAAACCCUGUCAUCUCAAAGAUCAACAGAAAUCAAACAUGCAAGAUAUCCACAUUCAGACCAUAGCAAUGAUACCCAUAGAUGGCAAGAGAAAAGGAAGAACUCCAUGAUAUUGAAGAAUAACGAUGAAUCUGUCACGAUCAUACCUGAAUAUGCUUCCCUCCUACGGUUGAUAAAAUGACCAGCCCUCUUUACCAGAAUUUCUCCACCUCCAUUUUUUAGAAGACCUCUUCGUUUUUUUUUUUUUUUCUUCUCCAAACCUCUACUCCAGACCUCUUCUUUUCCUGCAGACUUUCAAAAAAACCUCUUCUUUUUCUUGCAGACUUUCAGAAAAAAAAACCUUUUUUUUUUUUUAUCAGACUCCUCACAUCGUUCUUAAAAACCUCUCAUCUUUGCCGAUCUCUUCAUCUCCUUCUCAAAAUCCUCAACUUCUUUAAAAAACUCUAUUCCCCACUCUGUAGACACCCUUUCCAAAAAAAACUAUCCUCUUUCCCAGAUCAACUUACCUGUCUCUUCCCCAUAAAACCCCUUUUACAUCACCAACCCCUUUUUUUUUUUUUUUUUUUUUUUUGAAAGGUGGCAGCCCUCGUCUUGCAUCUUUUGGGAGUUACCAAACUCCCAUGCAAAAUAAAUAAAUAAGUAACUACAAAAAAAAAAAAAAAAAACCUUAUAAUAAUAACAAUAAUAAUAAUAAAAUCAUGCUAAUUGGAAACAAAAAUAGAAAAUAUGAAUACAUGCAUAUACGAGAAAAACCUAAGGAUUAAUUCAUGCAAUAAUGAUAAUAAUAAUAAAUAAAUAAUAAUAAUAAUAAGAUCACCAAUCACAUGCAAUUCUCUGAAAAUAAAUUAAAUAGAUAAAUAAAGAAAUAAAAUAAGAACAAUAAAUAAAUACCAAAUGCAUAUAAUUAAUAAUCUAAAUAUUAAACUAAAAUACAAUAAGAAAUUAAAUUUAAAAAAAUAAAAAGAAACAAACAACCAAAAUAUCAAAUUGACACAAUUAAAUAUCAAAAAUUCAUCUCAAGCAAUCUAAAUCAAAAUCAAGCCAAAUACUCACCUAAUUAAAAAAAAUCAAGCAAUCAAAAAAUUAAUCUUAGGGAAUUAAACCCAAAAAAGCAUCUAAGUGACCUAGGCCAAAAAGUGUCUAAGUGACCUAAGUGAUGUAGGGUGAUUAGAAAUGUGUCAAUUGACCUAGGAGUGUACCUAAUGGGCCAAGUGCAUCUAAAUGAGCCUAGAGUGCAAAAGUGGGCCUAAGAUGGUGUCCAAUGGGUCAUCAGAGAAUUAUCGUAAAAUAUCAAAUGGACACAUAAUAGAACAUGUGCUAGUAGGACAAAACAGAGGGUCUACAAUACCUUUGUAUGAGGUUGAGGUCAUGGUGAUAGUAGUGAACCAUUUUAUAUAAUGUUGGGGAACUUGGAAGUCUGUGAAUUUAGGACAAAACACAACUAUAUAUAUUAAAAAGAAAACGAAAAUCCUUGUUAGAGUCUAAUAAUGAAAUCAUCAACCCAUACUACCUAUUUAUUAAGUGAUUUAUUUAACCUUUAAUUAUUUUUCCUAUUUUUAUUUGUUUAGUAUAUCAUCCCUUAAUUAAUGUAAGUUGGAAUGCACUUUCUCUCCAUAACUUUAAUUUUGUUUUUUCAUUUUAGAAUAGAAAAAUAAAGACUUUUAAUUAAUAAAAGUUGGGAAAUACUUUUCUUUUCCUUUUUUUUAAGGAAUUUUAAAAAUUUUAUUUAAUUUUAANNNNNNNNNNNNNNNNNNNNNNNNNNNNNNNNNNNNNNNNNNNNNNNNNNNNNNNNNNNNNNNNNNNNNNNNNNNAAAACAACUUCUCACAUCGAAAUAUCCUUCAUCUAACCAUGGUGGAAAAAGUUAUUAACAGUGGCUCACACUUGAUUCUUAAUUGUCUAAUAAUAUUUUGAAAAACAACCCUCCAAUAGUUUUCUAUAGUAGGUUUUAAAAUCGCUUUUCAAUUAUUUUUAGGAAUAAAAUUAUUUGAGAACUUAGAAUAUAAAAACAUUUUUCCCCAUCUUGUCCCUUAUUAAUUUAUAUGUAUUACAAAAGUUUUUAAAGAAUAUUUUUCAUAUUUUUAAUUGUUGUGCAUAACAUUUUACAAAAAAUAACUAAAAACAAUUAAAAUUUAUUCUAAAAAAUAAUUUGUUUUCAAAACAAUUUAAAAUAUAAAUAUUUUCUAUAAAAUGUUAAUCAAAUUUGUUUUGGACUUAAAAAUUUAUUUUCUAUUUUAAAGACUAAAAAACUCAAUAAUGGUUUUCAUAUAUAUAUAUAUAUAUAACAUGUAUCAUAAAUUUAUUCUUUCCAUAUUUUUUAUAUUACUUAUUUUAUAAAAUAAAAAAUUUUAGUUCAAUAAAUCAUUUUGCAUAAUUCUCUUAUUAUUUAUUUUGUGUAUUUUUAUAAUUAAAUUUCAUCAUUAUUUUUGUGUAUAUUGAUUUUCACUAUGACUUGUACAAAUUCAUUUGCUUGAUUAUUUUUCUUGAUAUCCAUAAUUAAUUAAUUGAUUGUCAUAAUUUUCUUAAUUUGUUUAAUAGAGGCUUUAUGUAUACGAGCUUAGAGGGGUACUAAACCUCACCACUGUACCUUCCCAAUAGGUAACUUGACUCUCGAACCGAGACUCGAUUUUUCACAAACCUAUUUUUCCUUCAGGAGUUACACUUAGAGUUUUUCUUUCUUAUUUUAUUUUUCCCUUAAAAAAAUAAAACAAAAAUAAGUGGUGACUCUAAGUUUUUUUUUUUAAAAAAAAAAAAAAAAAUCAAGUUUUCACAAAAUAAAUAUAAAAAACGAGUUUUGUCAUCGAAUGAGAACGCAUCGAGCGGAAACGCAUCAAGCGAAAUACGGGGUCCAUAUCAUGUCUCAUUAUCCGUCUUGGCCAUGGAAAAUAAUCAACUCUUCCACCAACAAAAUAAGAGAUUCAAAUUGAUGAAUAUAAUUCAUAAUGUAUAUGGAAAUUAUAGAUUCUAUGGAUUUAACAUCUGAUAAGUCUACUUGUUUAGAUUUGGGUCCUUAGCCAGCUAUCCCACUUUUGGAUUUACUUGUGCUUAGUUUGUAACUGAUAUUUUGUUUUACUGGUUUUCAUUUUUAAGCUUUAAAUAUGUUUUUUUUCUUUUUUUCUUUUCUUUUUUUUAUAAAAAAAGAGAAUCAAAUCUUAUGAAUCAUAACUUGAUUAUGUUGUUAUUCUAACUUUAAGGUUAUAUUUAAUUCUCGAAAAGUAUUAAAGAAAAAAAAUGUUAAAAAAAUGGUUUUCUAUUGUCUUAUUAAAAAUGUAUAAAAAAAUGGUUUUCUAUUAACACAGGCUCACACUUGAUUCUUAAUUGUCUAAUAAUAUUUUGAAAAACAACUCUCCAAUAGUUUUUCUAUAGUAGGUUUUAAAAAUGCUUUUCAAUUAUUUUUAGGAAUAAAAUUAUUUGAGAACUUAGAAUAUAAAAACAUUUUUUCUCAUCUUAUCCCUUAUUAAUUUAUGUGUUACAAAAGUUUUUAAAGAAUAUUUUUCAUAUUUUUAAUUGUUGUUCAUAACAUUUUACAAAAAAUAACUAAAAACAGUUAAAAUUUAUUCUAAAAAAUAAAAAAUAUAUAUAUUUUCUAUAAAAUGUUCAUCAAAUUUGUUUUGGACUUAAAAAUUUAUUUUCUAUUUUAAAGAAUAAAAAACGCAAUAAUGGUUUUCAUCUAUAUAUAUAUAUAUAUAUAUAUCACAUGUAUCAUAGUUUUAUUCUUUCCAUAUUUUUUAUAUUACUUAUUUUAUAAAAUAAAAAAUUUUAGUUAAAAAAUUAAAUUUUAAAUUUUAAAACUAAAAAAUUUAACAUAAUAUAAAAUAAUAUUAUAAAAUUUAACAAAUUUUUUUUAUAAAAUAAUAUUAUUAUAUGAAUUAUUCAAUAUAUAAAAAUUAUUUUUAUAUAUUAUAUAAUAUAAUAUAACAUAUCUCAAAGAAUACUAUGUUCGUUAAAUAUAAUAUUUUAUUAAAAAUGAUAUGGUAAAACAUACAUAUCUUAUCCCAUCAACUAAAUAUGAUAUUUAGGUUUGACAAUACAUGAUUCAUGCACCAUGGGAUUAUGAGUAUGAUGACAUUGUGGAAGGUUAAACUUUUUUAAUAUUACUUGUUUCUAAAUUCCCUUAAUAGGUUAUGUUUCUUAAAAAAAUUGUAUUUUGAAAGGCUCACACAUGACUCAUAAUCCCUAUUGGCUGAUGUCAUGGAAAAUGACUCUCCCACCAGGAUAAGAAAUUUAAAUUAUUGAAUAUAAUUUCAUAAUGCAUAGGGAGAUUAUAAAUUAUAUGGAUUCAACAAUUGAUAAACUUACUUGUUUAUAUUAUUGUCCCUAGCCAACUAUCCCACUUUUGGAUUUAUUUUUGGUGCGCUUAGUUUGUAACUCAUCUUUUGUUUUGCUUAUUUUCAAAUUUUUAAGGUUUUGAUAGAUUGAAAAUAUAAAAAAAAAAUCUUUCGAGCCAUAACUUGAUUAUUUUGUUAUUCUUAUUUUUAAUCAUAUUUUCAAUGAGAAAUUGGGUCUUUUUUGGUAGAAUUGUAGGAAGUGGAUUGAGCAGAAAAAUUUAUUUGGGCCAAUUUGUAUUUCACCAGAUGACCCAGGCCAUUCUUAGCUUGGCCUAGUGGGCCUUAGGAAUAGCUCAAACGGCUGAAAAUUUAACUCCUAGACUAGGCCUGGCCUAAGUGUGAAAUUCACGUCAAAAUGAAUUCUUCUUUCCUAAAACUAAUUAUUUUAGAAAUAAUUUAAUAUCUUAAAAAGAUAUUUUAUAUUUUGUUCCCUAGAAACUUUUAUGUAAUGCACAUAAACUUUAAUUGAAUUUGAUUACUAAAAUCCUAAACAGUUGUAAUCCUAAUAAAUUUGAUUAAAUUGAACUCCAGCUACCUUAUAUUACAUAGAUUUUAAAACUAAAAAAUAAUUAAUUAAUUAACCAAAAAUAUACAUAUGUUCUAAAUCAUGUCUUCUACUCACUUUCCCGGGUCAUAAGUUGUGCAUUUUUUUUUCCAUUAUUGACCCAAUUUUUUUUUAUUAGUAUAAUGUUUGUCUCUUAAAACAAUUGAAAUUUGAAAAAAACUGAAAUAUGAUUAAACAAUAAAAAGACAAAUAAGUAAACUUAGUAAGUGAUAAAUUCUGGAAAUGAUAUCAUUAUUUGGCAUAACAUAAUAACAAAUAAUAUAUUCAUUUGAAUUUUUAACCCCACAUUCAUAUUUUAAGUAAAGACAAAAAAAAAAAAAAAAAACUUUAAAGCAAGAAAAAAGAUUGUUUUUCUUAUAACUUUUAUAGUUUCAUCUCACAUCACUUAUUCACAUGCUUGUAUUUUUUUUUUUUUCAAUCUUAUUCAUACAAUUUGAAAAUCCACUUGUAAGGAAAAAUACAUAAGCUUGAAAUGCAAUUGAGGAAUUGAGUCCUAAUCACAUUUAAUGACAUGGGUAUUAAAUUAACAAGCUAUUAAUGCUAAACAAAUGCUUUUGUCAUUAUAAUUUUUUAUAAUAAGGUUUUGCUAUCAUUUCAAGCUUCAAAGCUAUAAAUCAAGGCCUUGAAAAAACCACCAGACAAGGUUUGUGCUAUGAAAACAUUUCUAGAAAGCAAGGAGUGCAAAAAUAAUUUGACAUUAAUCUAGGGUAUUUUGUGCCGGAGAGAUUCCCUUUCUUCUAUUUGCUGUUUUUGCUUCCUCAUUUUCACAGGGAGGAAUUUGACACCUCAGUCCUUUUUUUUUUUUUUUUUUUUUAACAAAAAAUAUUCUGAGGAAGAUGGUGACUUGAAAACUAUUGAGAAAAAUAUCCCCACAUAGUGGCAAAGAAAAUAAUAAUGAUAAUAAUAAAGGCAGCUCGGUUGGCCUCAUUUCGAAGCUUAGGGACCCGAGAGAAGCUGAACUAAAAGAGACUCAAGAGCGUGUUCAACACCCUGUCCUAGUGCCAAUCUCGAUCUUUCUCUCCAGAUCUCGCCGGCGGCGAUCUCUCAUAAUCUUAAGUCAGUCGAUCUCAUUUUUUGUAGGGUUUAGAAAUUGGGCAACAGUAUGUUGAGUUUUUUGGUUGUGAUUGCUGAAGAAAUUGGGGAUCUUUAUUUGAUUGUCGUCAAAGUUUAUAAAAGAAAGAGAAAACAAAUUUCUUUGGAAUAUUGCAAAGGUUUUUCAGGAGUUUUUAGGCUGAUGAUGCGAUUUUUAGUGGCUUCAAAAUUUCUGCAGCUUGGUUGUUAAUUUGGAGACACAUUUGUUGUGUUGUCGUUGCAGUGGAAUGUUCUGAGCUUACAGGGGUUUGUGUUCAUGUGCAAUCUGUCUUACCUUCAUUUUAUUUAGUAUAAAGUUUAAAUCUUUGAGACAGAUAGUUUCUAUUCGGGGGAGAGAAGAGUGGUUGUUGAGUAUAAAGUUUAAUUUUUGUAUGUUAAUAAUAACAACAUUUGAAUUAAUUACUUGUAUGAGAGGAGAAAGAUGCAAGUGAUAAAUAGAGAUUCCAAAUAUCUAAUGGGAAGUUUUUGAGUUGAUGAUGAGCUAAGCUGAUUUCUUAAAAUCUUUCUGCUCACUGAGCUUCGUUUAUUUACUGAUCUUCUGUUUUUUUUUUUAAUGGAUUUAUAUACGCUAGAUCAGUAGAACUUAAAAUGGGUAUUACACAAGAUUUCCUCAAGGCUGUCGAUCCGUAUCUCUUGGAGUUUUCAGGAGGUUGGUUUUUAUUUGUUUCAUUUAAUUGGAGUACAUUCAGCACUUCAAUUUGUUGUAAGAAAGCGUCUCUUUUAUUAGGAUUGUUGCAAGCGUUUUUCAAUUUUGGUUGGAUCUUGAGAUGAGAGGUUUACAUAUUUUUGAUAUAAGAAAAUGCGGGGAAGAAUAGUAGAUAGCAAAAUGCUAUAUGUGGGAUUUUCUAUUGUUUGGGAACAUAGAAAAUGCAACUCCUAAAAAAACCUUUCCCUGGGUUCUGUUUUGUGUAAGAAUGGGAAAGAUUAGCAGUUGAUGUUAGUUUAUACUUCCCAUGUUCAAGGGAUAUUAUGGAGAGGUAGGUGGGAGGCCUAGCUAAACAAUAUAUAAAACCAUGUUGGCAAUGAAACAUGUCGGAAUUUGAUCUUUAAAUAUGGAUAGCACCAUAAGUGGAAAUAACUGAGUACAAAAAACAUUUGAGGGUAACACUUUAAAUAUAGAAGCAAAUUAUUUCUAAGAUAGUACAAAAGACAAAUUGCUUAAUCUUCUUUGGUAAUGGCCUACAGGGUAACUGCUCCUCUUGUCCUCUGUGCCUCCAUCGCUGGUGUUGUUUUGAGUCCUGAAGAUAUCAAAGUGAUAAAAUGGUUUAUUCAAGUAGCAUAUAUGUAAA